GAUGAACGCUGGCGGCAGGCCUAACACAUGCAAGUCGAGCGGACGGACGGAGCUCGCGCCUGGCUUUAGUGGCGGACGGGUGAGUAAUGCCUAGGUAGCUGCCUGGUAGAGGGGGAUGACGUACGGGAACGGGAGCUGAUCCCGUAUCGGUUAAUAGGGUGAAAGGGGGGGUUCUUUAGAGCUCAAGCGAUUUGCUGUGCCUAGGAGGGAUAACCGGGUCGGAUUAGUUAGUUGGUACGGUAACGGCUUACCAAGGCGACGAUGCGUAGCCGAGCUGAGAGGGUGAUCAGCCACACUGGAACUGAGACACGGUCCAGACUCCUACGGGAGGCAGCAGUGGGGAAUAUUGGGCAAUGGGCGAAAGCCUGACCCAGCCAUGCCGCGUGAGUGAAGAAGGUCUUCGGAUUGUAAAGCACUGUUAGUUGGGAAGAACGACUGUGAGUGUAACCCUGCAUGUUUUGACGGUACCAACUGAAUAAGCACCGGCUAACUACGUG
Molecule: ribosomal RNA, 497 nt
Filed under: uncultured bacterium
Lineage: Bacteria
Description: partial 16S ribosomal RNA
Rfam family: Bacterial small subunit ribosomal RNA
Source: RNAcentral